CGUAACAAGGUCUCCGUUGGUGAACCAGCGGAGGGAUCAUUAC
RNAcentral lists this ribosomal RNA (43 nucleotides) under Scedosporium boydii. RNAcentral's name for it is "partial 18S ribosomal RNA". Lineage: Eukaryota; Fungi; Ascomycota; Sordariomycetes; Microascales; Microascaceae. The record is from RNAcentral. RNAcentral also lists the same sequence under 4 other names.